Molecule: transfer RNA, 83 nt
Filed under: Cimex lectularius (bed bug)
Lineage: Eukaryota; Metazoa; Arthropoda; Insecta; Hemiptera; Cimicidae
Description: tRNA-Leu
Rfam family: tRNA
About the family: Transfer RNA (tRNA) molecules are approximately 80 nucleotides in length. Their secondary structure includes four short double-helical elements and three loops (D, anti-codon, and T loops).
Source: Rfam by way of RNAcentral
GCCAGGUUGGCCGAGCGGUCUGAGGCGCCAGAUUUAAGCUCUGGUUCUCGAUGGGAGCGUGGGUUCGAACCCCACACCUGACA